Molecule: ribosomal RNA, 250 nt
Filed under: uncultured bacterium
Lineage: Bacteria
Description: partial 16S ribosomal RNA
Rfam family: Bacterial small subunit ribosomal RNA
Source: RNAcentral
UACGUAAGUGGCAAGCGUUAUCCGGAUUUAUUGGGCAUAAAGAGCAUGUAGGUGGUAAUUUAAGUCAGGUGUUAAAAGCUACUGCUUAACAGUAGUUCGCACUUGAAACUGAAUUACUAGAGGUCAGUAGAGGAAAGCGGAAUUCACAAAGUAGCGGUGAAAUGCGUAGAUAUUGUGAGGAACACCAGUGGCGAAGGCGGCUUUCUGGACUGAAUCUGACACUCAAAUGCGAAAGCGUGGGGAGCAAACG